AACGAACGCUGGCGGCAUGCCUAACACAUGCAAAUCGAACGAGACCUUCGGGUCUAGUGGCGCACGGGUGCGUAACGCGUGGGAACCUGCCCUUAGGUUCGGAAUAACUCCCCGAAAGGGGUGCUAAUACCGGAUAAUGUCUUCGGACCAAAGAUUAUCGCCUUUGGAUGGGCCCGCGUUGGAUUAGCUAGUUGGUAGGGUAAAAGCCUACCAAGGCGACGAUCCAUAGCUGGUCUGAGAGGAUGAUCAGCCACACUGGGACUGAGACACGGCCCAGACUCCUACGGGAGGCAGCAGUGGGGAAUAUUGGACAAUGGGCGAAAGCCUGAUCCAGCAAUGCCGCGUGAGUGAUGAAGGCCUUAGGGUUGUAAAGCUCUUUUACCCGGGAUGAUAAUGACAGUACCGGGAGAAUAAGCUCCGGCUAACUCCGUG
This 432-nucleotide ribosomal RNA is filed under the name uncultured bacterium. RNAcentral's name for it is "partial 16S ribosomal RNA". It matches the Rfam family "Bacterial small subunit ribosomal RNA", at positions 29 to 507 of the family's 1533-position model. The record is from RNAcentral.